Molecule: ribosomal RNA, 253 nt
Filed under: uncultured bacterium
Lineage: Bacteria
Description: partial 16S ribosomal RNA
Rfam family: Bacterial small subunit ribosomal RNA
Source: RNAcentral
UACGAAGGGGGCUAGCGUUGUUCGGAAUUACUGGGCGUAAAGCGCGCGCAGGCGGCUAUCCAAGUCAGUGGUGAAAGCCCGGAGCUCAACUCCGGAACUGCCAUUGAAACUGUUUAGCUUGAGGACGAGAGAGGUGAGUGGAAUUCCCAGUGUAGAGGUGAAAUUCGUAGAUAUUGGGAAGAACACCGGUGGCGAAGGCGGCGACCUGGUCCUUGACUGACGCUGAGGCGCGAAAGCGUGGGGAGCAAACAGG